UGUUUAAUGCAUUAAACAGUGCUUUCACCUAUUGGCACAUGUAUGGAAACUAAUUAGACGACGAUGGCAAACAUCUUAAUAUUUAAAUGAGUAAAAUGUCAUUUUCGUCCUUGAGUCCGCAAGCUUCACAACACCAGAUGCAUUAACAAGCAAAUUUGCUCCUUUUAUAUCUCUAUGUAACACAUGCAUAGAUCAUUGAGAGCAUAUAUUGGUAAAUUUAACUACCAAUACAGUUACAAUCCCUCGAAAUAUAUAUAAAUAUGCUAAUCGUCCUUUAAAUUAUUUCAACUGCAAUGUUAGCUUAUCUGCUUUUGCAAAGAAUAAUGAUACCUGUGAACAAUCUUCUUGCUGUGCAA
RNAcentral lists this long non-coding RNA (356 nucleotides) under Helianthus annuus (common sunflower). RNAcentral's name for it is "sRNA HanXRQr2_Chr16g0735731". The record is from RNAcentral. Lineage: Eukaryota; Viridiplantae; Streptophyta; Magnoliopsida; Asterales; Asteraceae.